CCCCCGGCGGCCGCGGGCAGGCUGCCCGGCGCGGCACUGGGCGAGCGCCCCGGGGAGCGCGAGGGCACCGCUGCGGGCGCGUCCGUGCGCGCCAGGGGUCCGGGGGCGCCGCCGAGCCGGGCGCCGCGGGUGGGUGUGCGCGCUCGGGGGCGUGUGCCGCGUCGGGGACGGCUGUUGCUGGGAACUGUUGCUCUCGUCUCACGGCGGCAGCGGCGGCAGCGCCCGGCAGUUCGCAGUACCCGCUCUCAUCGCCCUCAACUCCUCUCUGCUGCGAGGUUAGCAAAUCACCACCGGCUGCGGCGCCUCCGCCGCGUCCCACGUCAACGCCGAGCCCCCUCCCCUGCGAGGCCCCGGCGCCUCUCCAUCUUUAGUGCUGGCGGCCGAGCCCGGCGCGCUGCCCACAGCGGCCCCCCUUCCCUCCCCCCUCCCGCGCCGUCCCCGGCCUCAGCCCGCCCACCCCACCCCACCCCCCCGGACUGGCCGAGCCCGCGCGCGCUCCCCGCCCCACCCUCCCCUCCCCUCCCUCCCCUCCCCUCCCCUCCCCGCGCUCCGCGCUCCGGGCUUCGCCUGACAUCUAGCUGCUGCUGGGGCGCCGGCGGCCGCGCUCACCGCUCACCGCUCACCGCUCACCGCUCACCGCCCGGGCGGAGAGGGAGGAGGGAGCUCGCGGAGAGCAGUGCCCGGGACUCGGGACCCUUGGGGGGGGGGGCAGCUCCCACCUUCCACCCCAGGCUUUUUCCUUUCCUCCGGGCGCGGAGUUUCGUCCCCGGCUCCAGUGUUUGCCCCAAUCCCGUGUGUGUCAUCUCGCCUUUCACUUUGCUCCGGGCUCGGGGCCGCCUCCCCGGGACCGCGACAUCGGUGGCCGGAGGUCCCUUCCGCGGCCCGAGCCCAGGCCUUCUGCGCCUCCAGGCGCCGGGCAUCCGGAUCGCGAGACGCCUCCGGGCGCGGUUCCCAGGCCCUGGGGAGCUGGUGCCGGAGGGCCACGGGGAUCAGCCGCCCAAGGGAGACCCCUCCCCCGUGUUAGCUGCCGGGAUCCCGGGAGGCCGAGAGCAACUUUUCUCUCCCCGGAGUCUUGAGCAUCCCCUGGGCUCUGCUCCCUUCCUUGCCCUCCCACCCCCACCCCCCACCCCCGGGAACCUGGUUGGAGACGGAUCCCGAGAACCGCGUCCUGCUCAGCGCAAAGCCUUCAGGGGGCGAGUGAAAGCUGGAAAAAGCUCCAGAGCCCCCAAAAGAGCCUCUUCCUCUCGGCGGGCCUCUCCACCCCAAGGGGAGGGGGGGGAGUUGAGAUCACUAACCUCAGGGUAG
This 1305-nucleotide long non-coding RNA is filed under the name Canis lupus familiaris (dog). RNAcentral's name for it is "lncRNA (ENSCAFG00040003440.1)". Lineage: Eukaryota; Metazoa; Chordata; Mammalia; Carnivora; Canidae. The record is from RNAcentral.